UACGGGGGGGCAAGCGUUGUUCGGAAUUACUGGGCGUAAAGGGAGCGUAGGCGGCGCGGUAAGUCGGAUGUGAAAUCCCGGGGCUCAACCCCGGAACUGCAUCUGAUACUGCCGUGCUAGGGUAAUGGAGGGGUAGCUGGAAUUCUCGGUGUAGCAGUGAAAUGCGUAGAUAUCGAGAGGAACACUCGUGGCGAAAGCGAGCUACUGGACAUUUACUGACGCUGAGGCGCGAAGGCUAGGGGAGCGAAAGGG
RNAcentral lists this ribosomal RNA (252 nucleotides) under uncultured bacterium. Its description in RNAcentral is "partial 16S ribosomal RNA". It matches the Rfam family "Bacterial small subunit ribosomal RNA", at positions 524 to 776 of the family's 1533-position model. The record is from RNAcentral.